UACGUAGGGUGCAAGCGUUAAUCGGAAUUACUGGGCGUAAAGCGUGCGCAGGCGGUUUUGUAAGUCUGUCGUGAAAUCCCCGGGCUCAACCUGGGAAUGGCGAUGGAGACUGCAAGGCUAGAGUUUGGCAGAGGGGGGUAGAAUUCCACGUGUAGCAGUGAAAUGCGUAGAUAUGUGGAGGAAUACCGAUGGCGAAGGCAGCCCCCUGGGAUAACACUGACGCUCAUGCACGAAAGCGUGGGGAGCAAACAGG
RNAcentral lists this ribosomal RNA (253 nucleotides) under uncultured bacterium. Its description in RNAcentral is "partial 16S ribosomal RNA". It matches the Rfam family "Bacterial small subunit ribosomal RNA", at positions 524 to 776 of the family's 1533-position model. The record is from RNAcentral.